This 492-nucleotide ribosomal RNA is filed under the name uncultured bacterium. Its description in RNAcentral is "partial 16S ribosomal RNA". It matches the Rfam family "Bacterial small subunit ribosomal RNA", at positions 29 to 507 of the family's 1533-position model. The record is from RNAcentral.
AGUGAACGCUGGCGGUAGGCCUAACACAUGCAAGUCGAACGGCAGCACAGUAAGAGCUUGCUCGUACGGGUGGCGAGUGGCGGACGGGUGAGGAAUACAUCGGAAUCUACUUUUUCGUGGGGGAUAACGUAGGGAAACUUACGCUAAUACCGCAUACGACCUACGGGUGAAAGCAGGGGAUCUUCGGACCUUGCGCGAUUGAAUGAGCCGAUGUCGGAUUAGCUAGUUGGCGGGGUAAAGGCCCACCAAGGCGACGAUCCGUAGCCGGUCUGAGAGGAUGAUCAGCCACACUGGAACUGAGACACGGUCCAGACUCCUACGGGAGGCAGCAGUGGGGAAUAUUGGACAAUGGGCGCAAGCCUGAUCCAGCCAUACCGCGUGGGUGAAGAAGGCCUUCGGGUUGUAAAGCCCUUUUGUUGGGAAAGAAAAGCAGCAGGUUAAUACCCCGCUGUUCUGACGGUACCCAAAUAAUAAGCACCGGCUAACUUCGUG